This 468-nucleotide ribosomal RNA is filed under the name uncultured bacterium. RNAcentral's name for it is "partial 16S ribosomal RNA". It matches the Rfam family "Bacterial small subunit ribosomal RNA", at positions 28 to 507 of the family's 1533-position model. The record is from RNAcentral.
GACGAACGCUGGCGGCGUGCUUAACACAUGCAAGUCGAACGGACAGGCCCUGAUUUUGUGGGGUGCUCGAGUGGCGAACGGGUGAGUAACACGUGAGUAACCUGCACUUGUCUUUGGGAUAACUUCAGGAAACUGGGGCUAAUACCGGAUAGGAGCUCUUGCUGCAUGGUGGGGGAUGGAAAGUUUCGGCGGUUGGGGAUGGACUCGCGGCUUAUCAGCUUGUUGGUGGGGUAGUGGCUUACAAAGGCUUUGAAGGGUAGCCGGCCUGAGAGGGUGACCGGCCACAUUGGGACUAAGAUACGGCCCAGACGCCUACGGGAGGCAGCAGUGGGGAAUAUGGCGCAGUGGGCGGAAGCCUGAGGCAGCAACGCCGCGUGCGGAAUGACGUCCUUCGGGUUGUAAACCGCUUUCGCCUGUGACGAAGCGUGAGUGACGGUAAUGGGUAAGGAAGCACCGGCUAACUACGUG